This 460-nucleotide ribosomal RNA is filed under the name uncultured bacterium. RNAcentral describes it as "partial 16S ribosomal RNA". It matches the Rfam family "Bacterial small subunit ribosomal RNA", at positions 338 to 795 of the family's 1533-position model. The record is from RNAcentral.
CCUACGGGAGGCAGCAGUGAGGAAUAUUGGUCAAUGGACGAGAGUCUGAACCAGCCAAGUAGCGUGAAGGAUGACUGCCCUAUGGGUUGUAAACUUCUUUUAUAUGGGAAUAAAAUGUUCCACGUGUGGGAUUUUGUAUGUACCAUAUGAAUAAGGAUAGGCUAACUCCGUGCCAGCAGCCGCGGUAAUACGGAGGAUCCGAGCGUUAUCCGGAUUGAUUGGGUUUAAAGGGAGCGCAGGUGGAUUGUUAAGUUAGUUGUGAAAGUUUGCGGCUCAACCGUAAAAUUGCAGUUGAAACUGGCAGUCUUGAGUACAGUAGAGGUGGGCGGAAUUCGUGGUGUAGCGGUGAAAUGCUUAGAGAUCACGAAGAACUCCGAUUGCGAAGGCAGCUCACUGGACUGCAACUGACACUGAGGCUCGAAAGUGUGGGUAUCAAACAGGAUUAGAUACCCUAGUAGUC